Molecule: unclassified non-coding RNA, 74 nt
Filed under: Rhizobium tibeticum
Lineage: Bacteria; Pseudomonadati; Pseudomonadota; Alphaproteobacteria; Hyphomicrobiales; Rhizobiaceae
Description: suhB
Rfam family: Alphaproteobacterial ar15 (bases 1-65)
Source: RNAcentral
AGCUGUUCCCUCUGGAGGUGAAAACCUUCAUACCUAUGGGCCUCGGUUUCCGAUGGCCCAUUUUUCUAGUCCGC